CCUACGGGAGGCUGCAGUGGGGAAUAUUGGGCAAUGGGCGCAAGCCUGACCCAGCAACGCCGCGUGAAGGAAGAAGGCUUUCGGGUUGUAAACUUCUUUUAAGAGGGAAGAGCAGAAGACGGUACCUCGUGAAUAAGCCACGGCCAACUACGUGCCAGCAGCCGCGGUAAUAAGUAGGUGGCAAGCGUUAUCCGGAUUUAUUGGGGUUAAAGGGUGCGUAGGCGGGCAUUUAAGCCGGCGGUAAAAUGUCGGGGCUCAACCCCGGCCUGCGGUCGGAACUGGGUGCCUGGAGUGGGCGAGAAGUAUGCGGAAUGCGUGGUGUAGCGGUGAAAUGCAUAGAUAUCACGCAGAACCCCGAUGGCGAAGGCAGCAUACCGGCGCCCUACUGACGCUGAGGCACGAAAGUGUGGGUAUCGAACAGGAUUAGAUACCCGUGUAGUC
RNAcentral lists this ribosomal RNA (441 nucleotides) under uncultured bacterium. RNAcentral's name for it is "partial 16S ribosomal RNA". It matches the Rfam family "Bacterial small subunit ribosomal RNA", at positions 338 to 795 of the family's 1533-position model. The record is from RNAcentral.